This is a non-coding RNA of Aedes albopictus (Asian tiger mosquito), 118 nucleotides long. The record is from Rfam. Lineage: Eukaryota; Metazoa; Arthropoda; Insecta; Diptera; Culicidae.
UGCCCAGCAAUUCCUAUCCCUACCUCCUGGUGGUACCGGUCGGAAACUAUGAGCAACCUUAGGGAAGAUCGGGUAACCAACCGCGGUGGGAACUUUGGUCGUAGGCUGACAAGGAAGG